UUAUGACCAUAUCAUAUUGAAACACCGGUUCUCAUUCGAUCACCAAAGUUAAGCAACGUUGAGCCCGGUCAGUACAAAGGUGGGUGACCGCUUAGGAAUAUCGGGUA
This is a non-coding RNA of Acanthosepion pharaonis, 107 nucleotides long. The record is from the annotation of a GenBank genome assembly. Lineage: Eukaryota; Metazoa; Mollusca; Cephalopoda; Sepiida; Sepiidae.